Halobaculum gomorrense is the source of this 100-nucleotide regulatory RNA element. It matches the Rfam family "L4-Archaeoglobi ribosomal protein leades". The record is from Rfam. Lineage: Archaea; Methanobacteriati; Methanobacteriota; Halobacteria; Halobacteriales; Haloferacaceae.
CUGAAGGCCGCGUUCGGGUCAAUUGCGGAACGCAACACCCGAUCUCCCUGCACGCGUCUCCCGGACGGGAGUACGUGGAGGGGGAGCGCGUCACCGUCAG